Molecule: RNA transcript, 1659 nt
Organism: Ipomoea nil (Japanese morning glory)
Lineage: Eukaryota; Viridiplantae; Streptophyta; Magnoliopsida; Solanales; Convolvulaceae
Gene name: mevalonate kinase-like
Exons: 6
Source: RefSeq, a predicted model, not a curated record
CAUGUCCAUUUUGGGAGUGAAUUGGGACAGACAGAUACCGAAGCAUACUCAUCAAAUUACCAUAAACGGACAGCUCUGUAGUUCUACAAAGUAGGCAAGAGAGAGAGAGAGAGAGAGAGAGAGAGAGAGGAUGGAGGUACGAAUAAGAGCACCAGCAAAAAUCAUACUGGCCGGAGAACAUGCGGUGGUGCACGGAUCCACCGCCGUGGCGGCUGCCAUUGAUCUUUAUACCUAUGUCUCUCUGAGCUUCCUUUCUCCCUCCGAAAAUGAUCAAACACUGAAACUCCAACUUAAGGAUGUGUCCUUAGAAUUUUCUUGGCCAGUUGCAAGAAUUAAAGAUGCUUUUCCAAAUCUUGAUAGUAGUGUUGCUUCCUCUCCUUCAUCGUGCUCAUUGGAGACACAUAAAUCAAUUGCUUCUUUGGUGGAAAAACAGAAAAUUCUUGAGGCCAAUAUUGGACUUGCAUCUGGUGUCUCGGCUUUUCUCUGGCUGUAUACCUCUAUUCUUGGAUGCAAACCAGCAAAAGCAGUUGUUCAUUCUGAACUCCCUUUGGGAGCAGGUCUGGGAUCAUCUGCUGCCCUCUGUGUUGCACUCUCAGCUGCCAUGCUCUCUUUAUCAGAUUCUAUUAGUAUAGAUUUCAGCCAACGAGGCUGGCAAAUAUUUAGAGACAGUGAUCUAGAGUUGGUAAACAAGUGGGCUUUUGAGGGUGAAAAGAUAAUCCAUGGGAAGCCAUCAGGGGUUGACAAUACAGUAAGCACAUAUGGGAACUUGAUCAAAUUUAAGUCUGGUGAUUUGACACGCCUCAAGACUAACAUGCCAAUCAAAAUGCUGAUCACUAAUACAAGAGUUGGCAGAAAUACAAAGGCAUUAGUUGCUGGUGUCUCAGAGAAGACAAUGAGGCAUCCAAGUGCUAUGGUUUCAGUGUUUAAUGCUAUAGAUUCCAUAAGCAAUGAAUUAGCUACCAUUAUCCAGUCACCUGUUGCAGAUGAUCUUGCAAUAACUGAGAAUGAAGAAAAAAUGGGAGAGUUGAUGGAGAUGAACCAAGGAUUGCUACAGUGCAUGGGUGUAAGUCAUUCUUCAAUAGAAACUGUGCUUCGAACAACAGCAAAGUACAAAUUAUACUCCAAAUUAAUUGGAGCUGGUGGUGGAGGUUGCGUUUUGACCCUGCUUCCAACUUUGCUAUCUGGGACAGUUAUAAGUAAGGUGAUAGCCGAGUUAGAGACAUGUGGGUUCCAGUGUCUAAUUGCCGGAAUUAGGGGAAAAGGCGUUGAGGUUUCUUUCGCUAGAUCUUCGUGAUCAUACAUAUGCAGAUCGACACUUCAAUAUAUCUUACGGCUCAAGAUUUGAUUGUUACGAAAUGCAUACUGAUUUUGCUAUUUUACUAGAUUUAGAAUUUCACUCAGUGGAUUAGUGAGUUGGUGAAGAAUUGAAAUAGUAGAUGGCAGAGAAAAUGACUAGAAGCAGAGGUGAAGCUAAGAUAUAUUAAAGCGGGGGUGGGGUUUGGGUGAUAUGUUUAGCGUUGAAUGGCUAGCCUGCGCGCAAGAGAGUUCAUUAGUUCAAACUCACAUUUUUUUAAUAUGGAGCAAAGACUCAUUCCUCCAUUUUUCUAACUUCAUCAGUUUCAUUACUUCUAUAUGCCACUUUCGUUCAUACUUUUGUAG